This 253-nucleotide ribosomal RNA is filed under the name uncultured bacterium. Its description in RNAcentral is "partial 16S ribosomal RNA". It matches the Rfam family "Bacterial small subunit ribosomal RNA", at positions 524 to 776 of the family's 1533-position model. The record is from RNAcentral.
UACGUAGGUGGCAAGCGUUGUCCGGAUUUAUUGGGUUUAAAGGGUGCGUAGGCGGCUUAUUAAGUCAGUGGUGAAAUACUCUAGCUCAACUAGAGGGGUGCCAUUGAUACUGAUGAGCUUGAGUACAGAUGAGGUAGGCGGAAUUGACGGUGUAGCGGUGAAAUGCUUAGAUAUCGUCAAGAACACCUAUAGCGAAGGCAGCUUACUAGGCUGUAACUGACGCUGAGGCACGAAAGUGCGGGGAUCAAACAGG